This 582-nucleotide ribosomal RNA is filed under the name Cytospora schulzeri. RNAcentral describes it as "partial 28S ribosomal RNA". It matches the Rfam family "Eukaryotic large subunit ribosomal RNA", at positions 50 to 656 of the family's 3401-position model. Lineage: Eukaryota; Fungi; Ascomycota; Sordariomycetes; Diaporthales; Cytosporaceae. RNAcentral also lists the same sequence under 1 other name. The record is from RNAcentral.
GCGGAGGAAAAGAAACCAACAGGGAUUGCCCUAGUAACGGCGAGUGAGCGGCAACAGCUCAAAUUUGAAAGCUGGCUCCGGCCCGCAUUGUAAUUUGCAGAGGAUGCUUCUGGUGAGGUGCCUUCCGAGUUCCCUGGAACGGGACGCCAUAGAGGGUGAGAGCCCCGUAUGGAUGGACACCAAACCUGUGUGAAGCUCCUUCAACGAGUCGAGUAGUUUGGGAAUGCUGCUCUAAAUGGGAGGUAAAUCUCUUCUAAAGCUAAAUACCGGCCAGAGACCGAUAGCGCACAAGUAGAGUGAUCGAAAGAUGAAAAGCACCUUGAAAAGGGGGUUAAACAGUACGUGAAAUUGUUGAAAGGGAAGCGCUUGUGACCAGACUUGCGCCGGGCAGCUCAUCAGGGGUUCUCCCCUGUGCACUCUGCCCGGCUCAGGCCAGCAUCGGUUCUCGUGGGAGGAUAAGAACGGUAGGAACGUGGCCCCCUUCCGGGGGGGUGUUAUAGCCUACCGUACGAUACUCCCGUGGGGACCGAGGUUCGCGCUCCGCAAGGAUGCUGGCGUAAUGGUCAUCAGCGACCCGUCUUG